Molecule: ribosomal RNA, 459 nt
Filed under: uncultured bacterium
Lineage: Bacteria
Description: partial 16S ribosomal RNA
Rfam family: Bacterial small subunit ribosomal RNA
Source: RNAcentral
CCUACGGGUGGCAGCAGUGAGGAAUAUUGGUCAAUGGGCGCGAGCCUGAACCAGCCAAGUCGCGUGAGGGAAGACGGUCCUAUGGAUUGUAAACCUCUUUUGUCGGGGAGCAAAAGACGCCACGCGUGGCGUUCCGAGAGUACCCGAAGAAAAAGCAUCGGCAAACUCCGUGCCAGCAGCCGCGGUAAUCCGGAGGAUGCGAGAGUUAUCCGGAUUUCUUGGGUUAAAAGGGUGCGCAGCGGGAAGAUCAAGUCAGCGGUAAAAUUGAGGGGCUCAACCUCGUCGAGCCGUUGAAACUGGUUUUCUUGAGUGAGUGAGAAGUAUGCGGAAUGCGUGGUGUAGCGGUGAAAUGCAUAGAUAUCACGAAGAACUCCGAUUGCGAAGGCAGCAUACCGGCGCUCAACUGACGCUCAUGCACGAAAGUGUGGGUAGCGAACAGGAUUAGAUACCCUUGUAGUC